UGGCGCCCAACAUGGGGCUCCUGGCACGGAGGAGUUAACGAGGGAGCCGUUCGAGAGAGACAGCCGGCUUAAACUGAAAGUGAAAGCAAAUUGAACCAGAGACCUCGGCCGAGGAGUGAGCAAACUGAAUCAAGGAUUAAAGCUUAAAGCAACAGGACAUUAAAUUAAGUACUGAGACCUGUGCAGACGACUACCCAACGUGCUGCCCGAGUCACGGUGAGUGAACGGCAACCCCAUUUCCCUUCCCGGACAUGGGUCAAGUAUUGAGCGAACACGAAGUGUUCGUCGGAAGUCUUAUAAAGGCAUUAAAGACAAGAGAGAUAAGGGUUGGAACAAAAGAAUUAUUGCAGUAUUUUCAAUUUAUUCAUAAGGUUUGCCCUA
Molecule: regulatory RNA element, 381 nt
Organism: Cavia porcellus (domestic guinea pig)
Lineage: Eukaryota; Metazoa; Chordata; Mammalia; Rodentia; Caviidae
Rfam family: Mason-Pfizer monkey virus packaging signal
About the family: The packaging signal is located in the 5' UTR and is required for specific RNA encapsidation.
Source: Rfam